RNAcentral lists this ribosomal RNA (497 nucleotides) under uncultured bacterium. Its description in RNAcentral is "partial 16S ribosomal RNA". It matches the Rfam family "Bacterial small subunit ribosomal RNA", at positions 28 to 507 of the family's 1533-position model. The record is from RNAcentral.
GAUGAACGCUGGCGGCGUGCCUAAUACAUGCAAGUCGAGCGAACGGACGAGAAGCUUGCUCCUCUGAUGUUAGCGGCGGACGGGUGAGUAACACGUGGAUAACCUACCUAUAAGACUGGGAUAACUUCGGGAAACCGGAGCUAAUACCGGAUGAUAUUUUGUACCGCAUGGUUCAAAAGUGAAAGACGGUCUUGCUGUCACUUAUAGAUGGAUCCGCGCUGCAUUAGCUAGUUGGUAAGGUAACGGCUUACCAAGGCAACGAUGCAUAGCCGACCUGAGAGGGUGAUCGGCCACACUGGAACUGAGACACGGUCCAGACUCCUACGGGAGGCAGCAGUAGGGAAUCUUGCGCAAUGGGCGAAAGCCUGACGGAGCAACGCCGCGUGAGUGAUGAAGGUCUUCGGAUCGUAAAACUCUGUUAUUAGGGAAGAACAGAUGUGUAAGUAACUGUGCACAUCUUGACGGUACCUAAUCAGAAAGCCACGGCUAACUACGUG